This 337-nucleotide unclassified non-coding RNA is filed under the name soil metagenome. RNAcentral's name for it is "partial contains 5.8S ribosomal RNA, internal transcribed spacer 2, and large subunit ribosomal RNA". The stretch from base 1 to 120 matches the Rfam family "5.8S ribosomal RNA", at positions 35 to 154 of the family's 154-position model. The record is from RNAcentral.
GAUGAAGAACGUAGCGAAAUGCGAUAAGUAAUGUGAAUUGCAGAAUUCAGUGAAUCAUCGAAUCUUUGAACGCACAUUGCGCCCGGUAGUAUUCUGCCGGGCAUGCCUGUUCGAGCGUCAUUUCAACCAUCAAGCCCCAGCGCUUGUGUUGGGGGCCUGCGGCUGCCGCAGCCCCCUAAAAGCAGUGGCGGGCUCGCUGUCACACCGAGCGUAGUAGCAUACAUCUCGCUCUGGGCGUGCUGCGGGUUCCGGCCGUUAAACCACCUUCAUAACCCAAGGUUGACCUCGGAUCAGGUAGGAAGACCCGCUGAACUUAAGCAUAUCAAUAAGCGGAGGA